Long non-coding RNA from Dromaius novaehollandiae (emu), 4884 nucleotides. RefSeq lists it as uncharacterized. The record is from RefSeq and is a predicted model, not a curated record. NCBI's taxonomy places the organism in Eukaryota, Metazoa, Chordata, Aves, Casuariiformes, Dromaiidae. The transcript is spliced from 4 exons.
ACUGGCUUUAUGAAAGAGUAAGAAGCAGGAAACCAUGACUUUGAGCUUCACCUGUCAUGCUGCUAAGGCUAUCAAGGGGGCCCAGUCCAUCCCCUCUGCAUGUCCCUGCACCAGCGUUAGAGAAAGGACCCAGGUUCCCCUGGACUGUGGAAGUCAGUCAGGUGCAAGGAUGGUCAAGGCACAACUUGUUUGUAUUCCUGCUCCAAGAUGCAGUGAUCAUGCACCGGGCUGUUUAAGUGACUUUUCAGACUGCGGCCACUUUCCAAGACGUCAUCUUGCAGUACAGAGACCAAGAGACUAUGCGGCUGUUUAGCACAGUGAAAAAACUACCCAGAAACAAGCUCUGCUGAAGCUUUGGAGUCAUGGGAUCACAGUGGAAAGGACCUCAGGAGGCCAUCCAGUCCAACUGCCUGCCCAAAGAAGGGACAACUGAGAGAUCAGACCAGGUUGCUCAGGGCUGUAUCCACUCAGGUCUUGAAAACUUCCAAGGAUGGAGACUGCAUGACCUCUCCAGGCAAUCUGUCCCACCAUUUGACUGUCCUCAUGGUGAGGAAGCUUUCUCUUAUAUCCAAACUCUCUUGUUUCAAUUUAUGUCUAUUGUCUCUCCUCCUGCCAUGCACUGCAGUGAAGAGCCUGACUCCAUCUUUUUGGCAACCUUCUCUUAAGAUACAGAAAGGCUGCUGUUAGGUCCCCCCAAAGUCUUCCCUUUUCCAGGCUGAAAAGGCCCUGCUCCCUCAGCCUCUCCUCACAGGGCAAGUGCUCCAGCCCCCAACCAUCUUGGUGACCAUGCUUAACUCCCUCCAGUUUACCAUCCUGUAUGGACACAGUAUUCUAUCUGUGGUCUAACAAAUGCUGAGCAUAGGGCGAUACUCACUUCCCUUCAUCUACUGGCCGCGCUCCUGGUGAUACAGCCCGGGAUGCUGUCAGCCUUCCCUGCUGCCUGGGCGCACUGCUGGCUUUGCCCAAGUUGCUGUCCCUCAGGGCACCCCGGCCCUUUUCAGCAGAGCUGCUCCCCAGGCAGCCAGGCCCCAUCGUGGGUCUCUGUAAGGGUUCUUCUUUCUCAGGCGCAGGACUUGACCCUCCUCCCCCAAGUUUGUCCUGUGAACACACAGGCUGAGCUUUCCUCCAAGUGCCCUUAAGAUCUCAUGGUUGUAACAUAAGAGUUUUCAACUCUUUCCAAACAAAAUUCAUCAGUAUGAAAUACGGAUACUCCAAUUAUAUGUUGUACAGUUACAACUCAUGGCCACUGACAGUGCAAUUAGUAUGAAUAAGCUCUGUCCUAUUCCUUAAACUUUCUUCCCUCCAUGAUAACAGUCUUUAGAAUAAUGUGCAUAUUAAAGAGCAGCUUACAUUUGCAGAGGAAAGAGUGAGUUCUCAAAACUAUCAGACUGCUUUGAGACUCCUAUUAAUAAUGACAUUGUAGUCAAAACACAUCACUUCAUAUUAAUACAUUUUUUGAGUUGCUGCAUUUUUUUUCCUCUUUCAGUUUAUAAGUGGUUUUCAAUGCACAUCUAAGACAGAAUGAAUAAAAUCAGAAUACAGAUUUUUGUGCAGUGGGAGCAAAAGAUAUUUCUAUACUGUUACAAAUUGCUGAUGCACCGUAACACAAACUGCAAUAUAUUGAAAGCAGCUGGCAACUACACAGCAUUAAGAUGCCUGUAACUAGUGCCAAACAGUAUUUCUGAGCACAAAUAACAAGUAGCAAGUGAAAGGUAUGAAAGGUGAUGUAUAUUAAAUGCAUAUGACCAACUUGGUUCUCCAUUGGAGUAGCAAAUCACAGCUACUGAAUGAAGAAAAUUUUAAAAUUCUAAAAAUACACGUGGAAAAAUAGAACAUUAUAUGUUGCAGAGCUGAGCUGUGUCAAGAAAACAAACUACCAUCCAAAUCAGAGGCUAAUAUUUUCCAAUUUUGGUUUCUAAACUUUAAACAUUGAACUCUUUCUGUGAUGGACUCCAAUAAGGUACUUUGUAAAUUAGGGGACUUGUACUGAGACACUUAGAAUACACUUAGCUGAGAACACCUGAGAGAGAGGCAGAGUAACUACAGUACUUGUCUAGGAUUUGACAGACUGGAUUCAGAUCCUACAUGACCUUCAGAUAGCUGCAUCCCAUCUGGCUGGAGGGACAGGAGGGGUCUGCGUACGCCCCGCAAUCUUAUCUCCCAGCUCAGAUAGAGCCUCAGAGACUUGGUUCCCCAUCCAUAAAAUGGUGAUACUAUUGUGUCUGCCUCAGAAGCAUGAGAAUCUCCUCACUCCACUUUUGGAAGCUCAUACCUAGUGUGGUAAUGAUGACCAUAUAAUAACCUAAAGUUAAGACCUCAGUCUUAUGGAAAAUCAGUGGUAAAUCACCAUGUCACUCCUUUAAAUGCAUCUACAAGUCUCCAUGUACUGUGCUCUAUGUUUUCAACUUGUUUGACUUUGGAAUUAAUCUCAGGAAGGCUUGGUUUGGUUUUACAGUCUAGACUAAAUUCUCCAAGGAAGAGAUUUCUGUCACCUAACAAAUCCAGAAUGCUGCACCAGGCAAUACUUGGCCAUGAAAGGAAUUUGUCAUGAUAAGCUCUGCAUAAAUAUUGACUUGAAGUUACAGACCUGCUGAUGCCUCAUGAAAAAAAAUACUCUGUUGCAUAGGGCAGAAGUGGGGGGAAACAACAACUGCAACCACAUCUUGUUGUCAUAACUUUUACCAUUUUCCUCAUUUUUCUGUUGUCUCUAGUUUUUUUCACUGUUUACAGCAGGGACUUUUUAGAACAAAAGCCAAGAUUAUUGCGCUUUAAGGUUCAGCUGUUUCCAUUGUUACUUUCUAAUUUUCUUAUCCUCUGUCACAUCAUAACUGAUUGCUUUAGAGAUAUUACAGAUUAGUGGUUUAUAAAGACUAAGACAUUGACUAUUAAGAAACAAAGGCAAUGCUAUGAUGAAUUGUGGUUGCAAACAUACAGUUAGUAUAGUGGCUGGCAGACGUAGACUGAAGCUGAGCACUAUCAGCUAUACCUAGUAACUACUAGCAUCUCCUUUACAGAGAAGCAAUGAAAAGACAGCCAGGGUUAUGAAGAGCACUUACUCAACUACAGCAUGAUCAGUAUCACAGAAAUGAUUUCGCAUGCUGUUUUUAAGUAUAUUUCCACUACAAUAACUAAGCAAGAACACCUUCAUGGAGAAGGAAAUAAAAGGGAGACCUCAUAUCUGAUGCUGUAAUCCAGACCCAAGUUCUCCUCCUAAAUCUCAGUGUCUCCAAAAUCCAGACAUGCACAGAUGCGCAAGUGCUGUCUUGUGGUUUGGUUUAUUUUGGGGAUACAGAUACACAGAGAAGAAAGAAACAGACAGCCCCCCUCAGAUUCAGAAUCCAGAUCCAGAGCUUGGCUUCUCCACAACUGCAGGAAGACAGGGGAAAUGUACAUGUUUCCAGUUCUGGCCAGUCAUUAGAUUUAAUCAGCAGAACUGCUUUUUCAGAGAGGCCCUUGCAGGUCUUUAAAGCUACAUCCAGUUAAGCAGGAGCCAAGAUCACGCAUAACAUCAAAGAAGAAAAUCACAUGAUAGCAAAAGACAUUUUGAGUGGUUAUUCAUUAACUAGAACAUUCCCGUGGCAGAAGUCCCAUAAACAUUUUGAGAAACUGGAUUUCCAAGCCUGACAGAUAUACAUAAAGCGUAUGAAAGACAUGACAGUGUUAUAUCCAAACUACAUCAUGUAUGUCUGCCCUGCUCAGAACUGUGAAAGCACUGUGGUGUUUUCAGUGGUACAUAUGCACAGUUGGACUGUGUUUUUAAAAUCUACAAAGUGCUGGGGGAAAUAAGAAUACUACUAGUCAAUGAUUUCCUCACGUACUGGACACAGGCAGGGGAUGCCUCUCAAGUCCGCUGACUCCAAGCUUUUGAUCCAGUAAAAGAAACAGAAGAGGAAGAUGCAGGUGGCAGUUCUGGGUCUUUGUUUCUUUGCUUGAAAAAAAUUACCUACCUCCCCAGCUCUAUCACAACACAUAUGCUCAAUGAGUCAGAAGGCUCUGCUUUUCCCAAGUUGCGUCUGAGCAAUUCAGGUGAUAGCAACAUUAUUUUCAGACAGUAUAAAGCACAGAAGACUGCUGCUUUCAACACAACAUUGUUCAGUCAGCCAUUUCUGCCAGUUUAUGUUGUGCUGGGUCGUUCUGCAUUCUCAGUAACAAGUGGUAGAAAUCUGAAGUAGCUCUGCAGGUCUGCACUGAGGUCUAAGGCAUGUCGCCUUCUACCAGCACAACCAAUACAAAAUACUGAAUACAUCUGGGUACUACUGCGAGUGAAUUUCUCUGGCUGGCAGAUGUGGACUGGACCCUCUUUGUCACAGCAAGACUGAAUCUAGCCCAUUGUGUCUGUGAAGCAUCUCCUAAAAAAGGGUGAAUGCGAUGAUUUAGAAACAAACUCAGCCCUGCAACUAAGGCAGUCCUGAGGUUCAAGUCUGGAACCACCAUCCUGAUUCCUACAAUCCUACUAACCACAGACAGCUUGCACAAGUGUGACUUGGGGUUCAGUGAAGGGUGCUGGAAAGGGAAUGUCCUCUUCAGACUUAGCAGCCUGCAGGAACGUGGUAUGCUUGAUAAAACCACACCAAAUAAAAUGAUUUCUAAAAAAUGAUGCUAGUGAUGAAUUAGGUAUCUCUCAUGAUGGGACUGUGAAUUUGGUGUCUGACAGGUCCACGUCCAUAUCAUGUGUUGUCUCACUGUGCAGCACACAGAGGAUCUCCGUCUUUCCAAAACAUGUUAUUAGUUUGUGGGCCAUACUGAUCAGAGAGGGUCAGUUAAGGUCAAAGGCCCCAGCUUAGGAUCUGGCUGACUACUUUAAGCAACCCUCAACUUUAAACCACUAAUUGAGACUGAAAAUAAUAGAAAAAGCCAGGUGAAUAGCUUUCGGCAACUGGUCCU